AGUGAACGCUGGCGGUAGGCCUAACACAUGCAAGUCGAACGGCAGCACAGUAAGAGCUUGCUCUUACGGGUGGCGAGUGGCGGACGGGUGAGGAAUACAUCGGAAUCUACUUUUUCGUGGGGGAUAACGUAGGGAAACUUACGCUAAUACCGCAUACGACCUACGGGUGAAAGCAGGGGAUCUUCGGACCUUGCGCGAUUGAAUGAGCCGAUGUCGGAUUAGCUAGUUGGCGGGGUAAAGGCCCACCAAGGCGACGAUCCGUAGCUGGUCUGUGAGGAUGAUCAGCCACACUGGAACUGAGACACGGUCCAGACUCCUACGGGAGGCAGCAGUGGGGAAUAUUGGACAAUGGGCGCAAGCCUGAUCCAGCCAUACCGCGUGGGUGAAGAAGGCCUUCGGGUUGUAAAGCCCUUUUGUUGGGAAAGAAAAGCAGCAGGUUAAUACCCCGCUGUUCUGACGGUACCCAAGGAAUAAGCACCGGCUAACUUCGUG
This 492-nucleotide ribosomal RNA is filed under the name uncultured bacterium. RNAcentral's name for it is "partial 16S ribosomal RNA". It matches the Rfam family "Bacterial small subunit ribosomal RNA", at positions 29 to 507 of the family's 1533-position model. The record is from RNAcentral.